UUCCCCACCAUUACAGACGCUCUAAAUAUAGAUAUACCUCUAGCUUUGGUUUGUCUGUAGAGUCAGUCGAAUGCAGCACCUCUAGGAGAUUCUUCAGAGCUGUAUUAAAGAUGAGCAUAUUCUUUUUCAUAUCGGCAUUAGUUGCAGGUAAGCUGCUUGUUUUUAUUCAACUCUAAAACUGGACUGGCAGCAGACUUAAUCGUUUUCUUUAGGUUCGAGAAAAACGCGAGGAAACGCGGCUCAAACUGCACGAGUGAGCAGGACGUGAGCAGAUUAGAGUGAAAUGCCAAAUAGUACUUCUACCUUACAGAAAAAAAUUCUUUCUGUCCCAAACAGUCGCUGUGUGUGUUCCGGAGUUGAAGUUGGAGACAACUGUUGGAGAAGAUGUUACCAUAUCCUUCAAAACUGCAGAACUGGAGACAGCCACUCGAGGAAAAAGCACGUUUGAUUGUGCAGUUCUGCGCACACGGUGAAAGACGUGUUGUCGUGAAACACCUGGAGUCUUAUUGCGCAUUAAACAGGGAACCUUAAUUCUUCAGCGUGUCAGCUUCAACAACUCAGGCCACUAUGAAGCAAAAAUCAUCACUGGGAAGGCGGUGUCUGAGAUAAAAGCUACACUUGUUGUCAAAAAACCAGCAUUUUCCUCCACUAAAGCACCACUACACACCUCCAUCAAGAAUCCUCCCAGCUCCUCUGAACACCAGUGGCCAUAUGCUUUACUGAUUCUUCCAGUCAUCGCCUUGGGGGUGGUCGUGUUUUUUAUUCUGGAGGAAGAAAUGCAUGAGGAAAUGUGAUCCAGCAGCUGAUGAUGAAGAAGCCAGAGAAACUCCCUGCCGUCUACAGAUGCAGUGUCUCCAGAAUAAUACAUGAACAAAGUGGCAGCGGUUGUCUAGUCUCUUUUAACCACUGUAGAGAAAACACUGAAGAUCUGCUCAAUACUUGACUUGAGUGUCAUAAAACACUUAUCAGUCCACACUUCAGCAUUGUUUGUUCGAAUGUGAUUUUUAGCAUAUCUGAUUGGAACCCAGUCAUAUGUAGUAAGUGUGAACAGCAAAAAAGCACAUGAAAUAAACUUUGUACAAUACUGUUUGAAGCCACAUUCCUAUAUGGCUUGAAAUGCUGUUCAAAUCCUAUUUCUGGAAAUCUGUUUUAGUCUGAUCGCUCCAUUGUCACUUUUUAGGUCAAUAGCACCAGUCACUGCUAUAGAAACCAGAUUCAGUCAGAUCAGUAUUUAAUCAGAUUUGGACUAAACCUGCCAAACUACCAGAUGCUGUUAUUCAUUUUUCACAAGUAUAUUAGUAGAGUCCCUUUUAAGCCAGUUUUGUUUCCUGUCACACUGGUAAAAUUGACUGUUGAGGCAUUGUAGUGAGGUAGAUUUGGAUAAAAACAUCCUAUCUCUUCACUGUUUUGUGGUCACUAUGAGUCAAAUGUCAGUGCUCUAUGAAAGUAUAUAUUCAUUCGUAAAUUUGAAGGGGAAAGUAAAAUUAUUCUGUAUUUUACAAAUGUAAUGCGUUAUUUAUUCAGUGUCUUGCUUAUUUCUUGCCAUGUUCUUACAUGUCUAUAUUUUAAUGAAAUAAAUAUUUUGUGCCUUUCCCACAACUUUGACUG
Labeo rohita (rohu) is the source of this 1608-nucleotide long non-coding RNA. RefSeq lists it as uncharacterized. The transcript is spliced from 5 exons. The record is from RefSeq and is a predicted model, not a curated record. Lineage: Eukaryota; Metazoa; Chordata; Actinopteri; Cypriniformes; Cyprinidae.